ACAGCAGAGCAGAAAGUGUAUGAAUGAAUCCUUACAAGAGCGCUGUUAAUGACGGCGACCUUCAUGGGCCGGUGCCCAAUCACGCUAUGUCGACCACUUUUUGCUGUUGCACCAGUGACCACUGAUGCGCCCAAGUGUUUUAGCUUUGCCUGCCCAUCAUUACACGAUCUUCAAACCGUCGCUCUUUUUCAGUCGCUUGUAGUUCGUAGCGCUUGAAUCUGUGACCUUGAGUUCCGGGCCACACGAUUUUAAUAAAAACUACUAAUUCAUAACUUGUACUUUGCUAUUAUUUAUAUUUAAAAAAAUCAGAGUAAGUUACGGAAUCCCCGUUAGGGAAAUUC
Molecule: long non-coding RNA, 341 nt
Filed under: Elaeis guineensis (African oil palm)
Lineage: Eukaryota; Viridiplantae; Streptophyta; Magnoliopsida; Arecales; Arecaceae
Description: long non-coding RNA (EGUI_LNC015506)
Source: RNAcentral